AACGCGAAGAACCUUACCUGGGCUUGAACUACUGGUGGUAAGUCCCUGGAAACAGGGGCUGACCCGCAAGGGAGCCAGCAGAGGUGCUGCAUGGUUGUCGUCAGCUCGUGUCGUGAGAUGUUGGGUUAAGUCCCGCAACGAGCGCAACCCCUAUCUCAUGUUGCUACUCCCGCAAGGGAGGCACUCUUGAGAAACUGCCUUCGAUAAGAAGGAGGAAGGUGGGGACGACGUCAAAUCCUCAUGGCCCUUAUGUCCAGGGCUACACACGUGCUACAAUGGCCGGUACAACGGGAAGCAAUACCGCAAGGUGGAGCCAAACCCUGAAAGCCGGCCCCAGUUCAGAUUGUGGGCUGCAACUCGCCCACAUGAAGGCGGAAUCGCUAGUAAUCGCGAAUCAGCAGGUCGCGGUGAAUACGUUCCCGGGCCUUGUA
Molecule: ribosomal RNA, 431 nt
Filed under: uncultured delta proteobacterium
Lineage: Bacteria; Deltaproteobacteria
Also listed under: 1 other name
Description: bacterial SSU rRNA
Rfam family: Bacterial small subunit ribosomal RNA
Source: RNAcentral